GACGAACGCUGGCGGCGUGCUUAACACAUGCAAGUCGAACGGAAAGGCCCUGCUUGCAGGGUGCUCGAGUGGCGAACGGGUGAGUAACACGUGGGUGAUCUGCCCCUUACUUUGGGAUAAGCCUGGGAAACUGGGUCUAAUACUGGAUAGGACCAUGCUGUAGGUGGUGUGGUGGAAAGAUUGGUUUCGGUAAGGGAUGAGCUCGCGGCCUAUCAGCUUGUUGGUGGGGUAAUGGCCUACCAAGGCGUCGACGGGUAGCCGGCCUGAGGGGGUGGACGGCCACAUUGGGACUGAGAUACGGCGCAGACGCCUACAGGAGGCAGCAGUGGGGAAUAUUGCACAAUGGGCGCAAGCCGGAUGCAGCGACGCCGCGUGGGGGAUGACGGCCUUCGGGUUGUAAGCUCCUUUCAGCCAUUACGAAGCCCUUGUGGUGACGGUAGUGGUAGAAGAAGCACCGGCUAACUACGUG
RNAcentral lists this ribosomal RNA (469 nucleotides) under uncultured bacterium. Its description in RNAcentral is "partial 16S ribosomal RNA". It matches the Rfam family "Bacterial small subunit ribosomal RNA", at positions 28 to 507 of the family's 1533-position model. The record is from RNAcentral.